This is a long non-coding RNA of Seriola aureovittata, 1173 nucleotides long. RefSeq lists it as uncharacterized. The transcript has 4 exons. The record is from RefSeq and is a predicted model, not a curated record. NCBI's taxonomy places the organism in Eukaryota, Metazoa, Chordata, Actinopteri, Carangiformes, Carangidae.
UAUAUUUCUUUUCAUGUAUAUUUCUUUUGGGGAGCUUUUAUUUUGUUAAUUGUAUUUUUGUUGCGUGACCUUUGACAUUUUGGUCAUGUCACUUCCUGUCGACCUGCGCCGUGACCGUCCUCCUCAGGUGCCGUCGAGUUGCGCUGAGGAGAGGUGUGCAGGGUUAGGGUUAACCCUAACCCUAACCCUAACCCUAGACACCUGGUCAUGAGAAGUUGCUGUACUGAUAUUAUCAUGUUACACACAGUAUGCAGCUACAGUCAGCAGCUGCUUAGCUUAGCUUAGCAUGAAGACUGCGAACAAUGGGAAACAACUAGCCUGGCUCAGCCCCAAAGUGGAGACAGGUGUGCUGGAGUCAGAGCAGAACUCCACCAGCUGCAACCAGUUCCACAAUCAAGACCUGCAUAAAUCCUCAGCCACUUCCACUCUGCUCCCCAUCAAUGUUACCAAGCUUUCAGCCAAAUUUGCCACCAGUUUUUCUGUUCAGCGUUAAGUUCUUGUUGCCUGUUUCUCCAGUGCCAACCCUUUUCCUCCGGCCCCUGUCUCCCGCCUCUCGUUUGGCCAGAGCUGGAACCCUGCGCUACCUCAGGCCCCACUCCCGACCUGCUACACCUGCCCCUGUCCCAGCCUCAGUUCCUGGUUCUCAGGUACCAGUCCAAGCUUCCCCGAAGCCUGCUCCCCAUUUCCCCUGUACUUUGCAGUAUCUUCUACCUUAUUCCCGUCUCCUCGUCUGUCUGUACCUGAGUUCACCUGUUCUGUAGCCCCCAAUAACAGUUUAAUCACUUGCCAGUUCUUGUGCGUCUGCAAUAGAAAGAAUUUCCAUUUUAUAAAGACUGAAGACAGAUAUUGGUGCAUUUAGUGUACCAGUUAUGUUGAAAUAGUUUGUAGGUAUUUGAUUGAAUGCAUUAAGAUCUUUGUCUCUGUACCCUGACCAAACUACAUUUAAGAAAUUAAGGAGUUGAGAAAACUCAGAAUUUUAAAGGCAGCAAACGAAAAUUUAACAUUUUAACUUGUUUUUGACUUUUAGUUUGUCCAACAUUGAAUUUUCACUUGUUAAUUUUCUGUUAAGUAGCAAAAAUCUUAAAAUUUUAAUUUUAAUUUUAUUUGUAUUUAGAUACUUUGAUCAUUUCAGUUUGUGUUUGGUAUCAUUAAAGCAGCCUGAUUCCACCAUGA